AGUGGACUUAGGAAGCACAUUCAAGAAGGCUGUGUUAGUGGCUUGAAGAAAAAGAAAACAAGUCAAACCCUAUGGAGGGCAGAGUGGGCUGCAUGAGGGACGAAGGAUUAAGCCAUGGCCCUGAGAGUUAACAUGACAUUAGGACUCAGAAAAAAAAUGUUGUGUGGAUGGGGAUGAAAAACCCAUUUCCUUCUAAACCCACCAUGGACAUCUGUUCUGCUGUAGACCCGAGAAGCAGCACAGUGGAGUGCAGGAUGGUCCAGUACAUAGUGACACACACAACACACACUGUGUCAGAUGGCUGCCCAGUCUGAGGGAAACCAGGGCAGAACAACACGUAGCUCCUGCCUGGCAACAACAGAUGAGGAUGGCCUCCUUACCAUUUUGGCACCACACACUGCCCUCAUCACGAGUGCUGUUGUCACCAAAGCAAUGGCCACUGCUUCAUCUCAUCACACUGAGCUGCAGUCAUGCGGAUGGCUGCUUUGCCCAGUCCCCACCAUUAAUACAGAAUUUUCUAUCAUAGCCAUUUCACGAUGUCAGUGAGGAUGGACUGAUUUGAGUAAAACAUCUAAGCUCAUUUUCUUCUAUCUCUGCCUGGCUUGAGAUUUCCUGUCAGUAUCAGUUUUUAAAAUUUAUCUUCCAUUUUCCUUAUUUAGAUUUUUGUAAAACAAUGGACUUUUUAUUCUCAAUCUUCCUGGCCCUAGAUAUGAAUCUCAGAAUGCUUGUUUUACAAUGCCUUUGAUUUCUUCCUUAGUGUUUAAAAACAACAAUAAAAAUACACUAUUCUGACAUAAGUUUAUCUAAAUAGUAUUUAGCAAUUUCAUGGGAAAUGUUGAGUAACUCCCACUGUUACUUGAGGAUUAACUGGAGACCCAGGCUAGGAUUGAAU
Molecule: long non-coding RNA, 892 nt
Filed under: Fukomys damarensis (Damara mole-rat)
Lineage: Eukaryota; Metazoa; Chordata; Mammalia; Rodentia; Bathyergidae
Description: lncRNA (ENSFDAG00000028809.1)
Source: RNAcentral